UCAUGGUAGGACUAAUCAUUUCUUAGCCAGGAAGGACAGAGAAGCCAGACUUCAGAAGGAACCCCUCUCAAGUUUCAAUUUUUUAGCCCUGCAAUAGUCAGAAACUGAUGUUAUCCUGCCUCCCUGUGGCCACUCUGUAGCAACACCCUGUCCUUCCUUUUUUUUCUAUGCAUGCCAUAAUUAAGGAACAAAAUACCUUUCCUACUUGGACUGCCCAGGGAAAUGUCCCUGGAAGAAGUUGCAUAGACACCCUGCUGUUCCUGGUCCUCAGGUCCUUAAUGAGAGUUGGCUGGGCUGCAGGUCAAGAGUGUGACAUCUUCAGCCUGGGAGGAUUUAGAAGCACAAGACUGGGACUCUUUCUGUGCAUGCAUGAUGAAGAAGUCCAAAGUCGACUUAAGCCCCAGGUAGCCCUUUGGAAGGCCUGAACUCUUUUCUGCAUGAGCAUCCUGGCAGCAUGGACCAGGCACCCCUCAGAAACCAAGGUAGAUGGCCCUGCACUGAAGAGAAAGAAAGGCCGCCUGGAUCAGUUCUAACGCUAACCUCCUACACCCCUUAAUCGUGGCAAUAUUUCUCCUAUAUUGGAAAUAAAAUCACAUUGUUGAAUUGGC
Molecule: long non-coding RNA, 608 nt
Organism: Mastomys coucha (southern multimammate mouse)
Lineage: Eukaryota; Metazoa; Chordata; Mammalia; Rodentia; Muridae
Exons: 3
Source: RefSeq, a predicted model, not a curated record